UGGUGACUAUAGCAAGGAGGUCACACCUGUUCCCAUGCCGAACACAGAAGUUAAGCUCCUUAGCAUCGAUGGUAGUCG
This 78-nucleotide ribosomal RNA is filed under the name Staphylococcus aureus. The record is from RNAcentral. Lineage: Bacteria; Bacillati; Bacillota; Bacilli; Caryophanales; Staphylococcaceae.